Long non-coding RNA from Diabrotica virgifera virgifera (western corn rootworm), 391 nucleotides. RefSeq lists it as uncharacterized. Lineage: Eukaryota; Metazoa; Arthropoda; Insecta; Coleoptera; Chrysomelidae. The transcript is spliced from 3 exons. The record is from RefSeq and is a predicted model, not a curated record.
AUUUAUAAUUUUAUAUUUACUGUAAUUAUUUAGGUAAUCAACGCAAUCAUGCCAAAAAGAGUCAUGCCAACUAACAAGAAGAAACUUGGAGGUACACAACAGGGACGAACCUUUGUGGAAACUUCAGCGAUAUUUGAAUAGGUCAAAUGCUAGCGGAGCCUGCCGUGACAAUCAGGAUUAUAACGACGAAACCAUACAAAAUGACUUGUCUACUGUCCCUGAAAAUGAAACAGAAACAUUAGCACAUCCCAACACAACACUGGUUUUUCCGAAUGAAAUUAAUCCUGAUGAAGACGAACCCAUACACAAUGACUUGUCUACAGUCCCUGAAAAUGGAAUAGGAACAUUAGCACACCCCAGCACAUCACUGGUUUUUCCGAAAGAAGUUAAU